CUACAUACAUAUUUUCAUAUCUUUUUUCGGUUGAUGUAUUUUAUAGUUUCUAUUGGCAUAUAUAUUUUCAUAUCUCUUAGGCUUCCAUGUUUCCUAAAAGGAAAUUCAACAAAAGAAUCAAGAAAACAGAAUCAGCCAGAAAAUUCAUUAUCCCCUUGCUGCCCCAUUAUCCUCACAACAAAAAAGAAACCUAAAACACGAAAUUUUAAUAAGUUUCCAAAUUUUACCUCAUCAUUUUUUACCCAAAUUCUUGGUUAAUUUCUUUUUUCACUGUUCCCUUUCCAGUCAUUGUGCUCUACUGGUGAUUUGUUUUGAUAACCAUGGUGUCUCAGCUAUCUUUCAUGAACAUUGACUAAUUCCAUGAAAACCUACCACCUCCCACCAACAACGGGUGCCAGGAUCAAUGCGGGGAUCAAAUUCGAAUGGUGGGUGCCACUACUCAACUUGAUCGAGAUUGAAGUGAAUGAUGAAGAAUUUUUGAAAUAUUUUGAUACGAGUUUAUAUACAUUUGGUUUUGUGUGGAACUUGGUACAAAUUUUUAUUAUAUUAUUUUCUCAUUAAUUAUUAUGUGGAAGACAUGUAUUUUUUGAAAUCAAGUCCAUGCACUUCAA
Long non-coding RNA from Capsicum annuum, 611 nucleotides. RefSeq lists it as uncharacterized. The transcript is spliced from 2 exons. NCBI's taxonomy places the organism in Eukaryota, Viridiplantae, Streptophyta, Magnoliopsida, Solanales, Solanaceae. The record is from RefSeq and is a predicted model, not a curated record.